CACGGAGGGUGCGAACGUUAAUCGGAAUCACUGGGCGUAAAGCGCGCGUAGGCGGUUCGUUAAGUGGGAUGUGAAAUCCCCGGGCUUAACCUGGGAAUUGCAUUUCAAACUGGCCGACUAGAGUACGGUAGAGGGAGGUAGAAUUUCCUGUGUAGCGGUGAAAUGCGUGGAUAUAGGAAGGAAUACCAGUGGCGAAGGCGGCCUCCUGGAUCGAUACUGACGCUGAGGCGCGAAAGCGUGGGGAGCAAACAGG
Molecule: ribosomal RNA, 253 nt
Filed under: uncultured bacterium
Lineage: Bacteria
Description: partial 16S ribosomal RNA
Rfam family: Bacterial small subunit ribosomal RNA
Source: RNAcentral